GAAAUGCGAUAAGUAGUGUGAAUUGCAGAAUUCAGUGAAUCAUCGAAUCUUUGAACGCACCUUGCGCUCCUUGGUAUUCCUUGGAGCAUGCCUGUUUGAGUAUCAUGAAAUCUUCAAAGUAAAUCUUUUGUUAACUCAAUUGGUUUCUACUUUGGUAUUGGAGGUCUUUGCAGCUUCACACCUGCUCCUCUUUGUUCAUUAGCUGGAUCUCAGUGUUAUGCUUGGUUCCACUCGGCGUGAUAAGUUAUCUAUCGCUGAGGACACUGUAAAAGGUGGCCAAGGUAAAUGCAGAUGAACCGCUUCUAAUAGUCCAUUGACUUGGACAAUACUUUUAUGAUCUGAUCUCAAAUCAGGUAGGACUACCCGCUGAACUUAAGC
RNAcentral lists this unclassified non-coding RNA (378 nucleotides) under plant metagenome. RNAcentral's name for it is "partial contains 5.8S ribosomal RNA, internal transcribed spacer 2, and large subunit ribosomal RNA". The stretch from base 1 to 105 matches the Rfam family "5.8S ribosomal RNA", at positions 50 to 154 of the family's 154-position model. The record is from RNAcentral.